UAAUAAACUGUUACCUUGGCAGCUGAACUAGCAGCAUGGCCUAGCAAAGCCCACAAAACCUCAGUUGAUUAUUCCAGGAACACAGCUGUGGAACACCCCAGCCAUUAAGCAGCUACUCAACUUCUCUGGAAUUCAGACCCCUCCCUGCAACACUUGGGGCUCUUGGAGAUUCAUUUUCCAGUCCGCAAAGGGAAGAUCAAAAGAAAAACCGUAAGGAAAUGGACAGAUGUGGGAGAGCAUGGGACUGGAACCAAAUGACUGGAACCAACGGUGGCAGGUUUAUGAGGAACAGUGAUGAGAAAAGAGGCUGAGGUACUGAAUCUCGUAACAGCCAGAGAUUCGAAAGAUUAUUCACUAACGCAUUGUGAAAGCAGCGAGCUCUUGGCUGGUGAAAAAAGAAAUGAAUAUCCAUAUGACCUCAUCUGUACACACGGGCAGACUGGCCUACACUCGCCUAAUGGGGAGAGCAUCCCAAGCUUACCACGUUUGGCUAAUGCUGGAGUCUGUGCUGGAAAGACUGUACAGUAUCUCUGUGAGACCAGUGAGGACACACAUGAGGAGGAGCCUCCGGGAUGACUGACCAAUGUCUCCUCAUGAAUCAGUACUCUGACCUCUCCAUGAACGGGCUUUGAGCAUGGUAGAAUGCAACUAUUUAUUUUGGUCUGCUUAAAUAAACAGAAGAUGAGUUAAUCUUAAUCUAUUGAUAAUGAAAAAGAUAU
RNAcentral lists this long non-coding RNA (719 nucleotides) under Chinchilla lanigera (long-tailed chinchilla). RNAcentral's name for it is "lncRNA (ENSCLAG00000022308.1)". The record is from RNAcentral. Lineage: Eukaryota; Metazoa; Chordata; Mammalia; Rodentia; Chinchillidae.